ACCUUCCGUAGGUGAACCUGCGGAAGGAUCAUUACC
RNAcentral lists this ribosomal RNA (36 nucleotides) under Aspergillus flavus. RNAcentral's name for it is "partial 18S ribosomal RNA". Lineage: Eukaryota; Fungi; Ascomycota; Eurotiomycetes; Eurotiales; Aspergillaceae. The record is from RNAcentral.